Molecule: ribosomal RNA, 498 nt
Filed under: uncultured bacterium
Lineage: Bacteria
Description: partial 16S ribosomal RNA
Rfam family: Bacterial small subunit ribosomal RNA
Source: RNAcentral
GACGAACGCUGGCGGCGUGCCUUACACAUGCAAGUCGAACGGUAACAGGUCUUCGGAUGCUGACGAGUGGCGAACGGGUGAGUAAUACAUCGGAACGUGCCCGAUCGUGGGGGAUAACGAAGCGAAAGCUUUGCUAAUACCGCAUAAGAUCUACGGAUGAAAGCAGGGGACCGCAAGGCCUUGCGCGAACGGAGCGGCCGAAGGCAGAUUAGGUAGGGGGUGGGAUAAAAGCUUACCAAGCCGACGAUCUGUAGCUGGUCUGAGAGGACGACCAGCCACACUGGGACUGAGACACGGCCCAGACUCCUACGGGAGGCAGCAGUGGGGAAUUUUGGACAAUGGGCGAAAGCCUGAUCCAGCCAUGCCGCGUGCAGGAUGAAGGCCUUCGGGUUGUAAACUGCUUUUGUACGGAACGAAAAGACUCUUUCUAAUAAAGAGGGUCCAUGACGGUACCGUAAGAAUAAGCACCGGCUAACUACGUGCCAGCCGCCGCCGUAA